RNAcentral lists this long non-coding RNA (11366 nucleotides) under Gossypium barbadense (sea-island cotton). RNAcentral's name for it is "long non-coding RNA (GBAR_LNC002732)". Lineage: Eukaryota; Viridiplantae; Streptophyta; Magnoliopsida; Malvales; Malvaceae. The record is from RNAcentral.
GAUCGUAUGUGUUCCUUUUCCUUUUAAAUCUCCCCUUUCCCUUGUUUUAGUCUUUGUGGUUUGCAGUUCUUAGUAUAAAGUUUGCUUUUUCAGGCUCCCUGGAGACUACGGAUUUGACCCACUAGGUCUUGGAAAAGACCCAGCAUUCCUCAAAUGGUACCGAGAAGCUGAGCUGAUCCAUGGACGUUGGGCCAUGGCUGCUGUCGUCGGCAUCUUCGUCGGCCAAGCUUGGAGUGGCAUUCCAUGGUUCGAGGCAGGAGCUGACCCAGGUGCGAUAGCUCCAUUCUCUUUCGGCUCACUCCUUGGUACUCAGCUCAUCCUUAUGGGUUGGGUUGAAAGCAAGCGGUGGGUUGAUUUCUUCAACCCCCAAUCACAAUCAGUGGAAUGGGCAACUCCAUGGUCUAAGACCGCUGAGAACUUCGCCAACGCCACAGGUGAGCAAGGGUACCCAGGAGGCAAGUUCUUUGACCCAUUGGGGCUAGCAGGAACCAUCCAGAAUGGGGUUUACGUCCCUGAUUUUGACAAGCUCGAGAGACUUAAGCUUGCUGAGAUUAAGCAUGCUAGAAUUGCGAUGUUAGCCAUGUUGAUUUUCUACUUUGAGGCUGGCCAAGGAAAGACACCCCUUGGUGCUCUUGGAUUGUAAAAGAAAACUUUAAGGAUCUGUUUGGAUGUAGAUAACUGAGUUAUGUCUUGGACGUAAGGAGAGUUGAGCAAGAAAAAAACUGGAAAUGGUGUUUGUUGAGCUGAUGAGUUCCCUCAAUAGUUAAAAAUUCUAAAGUAAAAUAUCUGAUGUUCAUUGAUUAAAUACAGAUUCUGUCUACUGAUGUAGUAUACUAUCAUUUCCAUGGAAUUUCUCAGACAUAAUGAAAGGUGAAUUUGCUAAAAAUUAAAGAGAACAAAUCAGGAACCAUCUGGUAAUAAAUAUUCAUGGCAAAAAAAGAAAGAUAUUUGUUAGUUUCUCAUGGAAAUUACUGAGUUCCAAUUGAUCUAGACAUAAAAAUCUUAAAAUUUUGGCAAAAAAUAAAAAAUAAAAAAAACUUAGAAAUAAAAAUGUGUGCCAACAUGCUAUCCGUCUAAUUAUAAAAUGGUUCUUCUGAUUGUUAGAUCCAAAAUUGAUAAUUGCAAGUAGAAACUUAGUAGUGACUAACUGCUUCAAGCUCCAAUGAAAAAUAAAGCACAAAAAUAAUCAACACUAGAUAUGUUUAAGCAAUUUUGUUUCUUACAUGUGUGUAGUAAUUUUAUAUAGAGAGGUAAUUCACUAUCUUAACAUUUUGUACAAUGAGUGAUUAAAGUACUAACACCAAUUAAAUUAGCAACCUCACUUUUGUUCUUAAGAUUUAAAUAUUCUAAAUUUUCCCUCUCAAAACUUAGGACAUCAACCAAUUAGCUUACUUGAUUACUUACCCAAUACACAUUAAGAAACAAAUUCUAAAUAACAAAAUAAGUACUGAAAUUCUCCCCAAGCGUUUCAAUGUAUAAGAUUUUAAGGCUUGUUAAGAUAAAUAUUAAUUACAAUCAAAUUCCCAUCAAAAUAAUAAGAUAAUCAGCAUAAAUAAUAUCUUCAAUGUGACUAGGAUAAGUCUUCAAAUUUUCAGGAUAUGUUAUCAAGUUACUCGGCUCAGCUUCCUCAAAAUAUAAAAGUUAAUUUGCUUGAUCUAAUCCAAAUCAAUCUUUAAGAUAUAUUGCUAUGAAUAAUUUGAAUACCAAAUAUGGGCUAAAAACAUCCAAAGUAACAACUAAAAUAAAAGCACAAGAAUUUUUGUUGCCAAAAUUUGUUAAAUUAAACAUGAUAAUUUUUUUGAACAAGUAAUGUCUAAACUAAUUUACACUGUUCAAGGCAUUGCUCAAAAACUACCUCAACAAUCUCCACGUAUUAAACACCAAAUCCGAAUGCCCUCUUGAGAAACUCCCCUUUAAUCAAAAUGCACCGGGCCUGAGAAUGAACACUAAAAUACCGCAGACUCCCCCAUCUUUUAUUUGUAUUUUAAAAUAUAAAAAUCUUGGUCAAAGGUCAAACUUCCUUUUUGUGUGACCUUAAUUUAAUUUAAUUUAAUUUAGAAAUUUUUUUUCAAAGGCUUAAAAUCAUCUCAUCACCACACAUUCUCUAUUAAACUAUAAAAAAAUGUGUCAAAUGACAAAAAUGCUCAUGAUGGGCAGAAUGAUUUUCACCCCUUGGGUCCAAAACUAGAAAAAUGACUUAAAAAUGUGAUCACAUGACCUUCCUAGGAUUUAAAUCCUAAAAAUUUCAAAUAAAUCAAAUUUCUCAUAUAGCAUUUCACAUAGAUAAUCAAAGGAAUCUGGAAUGUUAGAGGAAAAAAUAUUAAAAGGAAAGAUUUGAUUAAUUCCUAGCUUUGUAUUCAUUGGGAGUUAUUAGAGUAAUGUACAGGGUAGUGAUUUGUUGCACAUGAAAGUCGUAAUGUAGCACAACUUUGCUUCUGGGUAGUGAAAGAAAACAUUUAGAGAAAAAAAAAAGAGUAAACUUAAGAUUGGCAAAAAAAAAAAUUAAGAUUGGCAAAAAAAAAAAAAUUUCUUUUGCAACGAGGAGGGAAAAUAUGAACAUGUUUUCAACAUGCACUUUGCCCCAUUAUUUGUAGUUAUGAUUUUUCUUUUUGGACAAAUUUGCCUAAUUAGUUAAUUGGUUGGCCAAGAGAGACCACCAACUCCACUUGUAGCCAUUUUUUUUUUAAUUCAACAAGGCUUAAUAUAAAUAUAGAUUACUAUAAAUAUCAAUCCAAUUUGUAAAAAUACAUUAUCCUAUGAAAUUAGGAGGAUUCGCUUUAAAAUUUUAAAAGAUUUAUAAUUUCCUAAUAAAUAAAAAAUAAUUAAUAACUCUUAUAAAGUAUUUUUUGAAAAAUAAUUUUUUAUAUAAAACUUUUAAGUUUUUUUUCACUAUUUAAAAUAUAAAAUAUUUUUUACAUUAUAAAAAUUAAAAUUAAUUAUAAAUUAAAUAAACAAUAGAAUUCCAUUCGGUUUGAUUAUUUUUAAAUUUAAAUUAGUUUUUAAUUUCUCAAUUAUUUUUUACUCAGCCUAAAAAUAUUAAAUAAAUAUGUACGAUAAUUAAAUUUUUAGAAAUUCAUAUCACAUUUUUUAUUUUUAAAUUUUGAACUUAAAUUCUUUUUCUAAGAGAAUAAGUAUUUUUUUAUAGAAUUUUUUUUGCUUUAUCAAGAAAUUAUUAAUGAUUAAGUACUUAUAGAAUUAAUUUCUUUACGUUGGAGUAUAAAUAUGGAGAAUAUAGCAGCCACGCAGGGAGCCAUGUCGCGAAUUUUCUCGACAUUACAUGCGUUGCAUGUCGUAUGGAUACCCAUCGAAUUAAUUAACAUAGACAAAAUCCAUAUCUUUUCAAAACUAAAAGGUCAGCAAUUCCAGCUAUAAACAAAUUAGGCUGCUUUUAAGCAAUCUCACUUAGGGCAGUUCUUUAUUCCAUUUGAGAUGGAUUUAUACAAGUAUUUUUUCUCUAAAAGCAGUAAAGAACAGCUAACAGUGGUAAACUUUUUUUUGACUUAAAUUAAGUACUUUUAGCUAGUUCUAGGAAAAAUUAGCUUUUUUCAGCCAAAAAGUAGUUUUGACUAUUAAUUUACCUUUUUAACCUUACGAUUUUUACAUGUUACAAGAUAUUUUUUUCACCUUUUCUCUUUUGUCUUCUUUUUUUUUUGAACUUUAUUUUUCCUCUGGUUUGUUCCUCUUCUCAGUACCAGUAAGUUUUAUCUUUUUUGCUUCCAUUCUUCUGUCUUUGAUUUUAUGAAAUAAUUAUGAAAUUUAAUAAAUAAUUAAUAUUAAUUACUUAGAAAUAUUUAAAAUUAAUAUUAUAGAUUAAAAUAUUAACAAUAAGUUAUAAUAAAUUAUUUUUUAUAUUUUUGCUAAAAUAUCAUAAUAUUAAUUAAUUUAAAUAUUAUUUAAAUACAUAUUUGUUACUUUAUAGUAUCAUGUCUAAAAUAAACAUUUUACUUUUCAAAAACACUUUUUGACAGCAAUACCAAACAAUUAAAUUUUUCAAAAAUACUUCUUAAAAGCACUUUUCAAAAAUAUUUUUCCACGGCACUUCUCAAAAGCAUUCGCAGCCCUUAAUAAAUUGAUAUAGACACACACAUAUCUGAUUGUAUAAAUCAAGUGCUUCCCUUCGAUCAGUCACUUGCGUAUCUAUCCAUAAACACGUAUCUGAUUGUAUUAUUUUGAAUGAAGAGCUUUUACUUUUUAUCAGCUUACGCUGAUAAAAACAUCAAAUUAUGUUUGGUUUAAUUAACUUUAGAACAAACUUUGCGGAUUUCACCCACAGUGCCUGUCUUCACUUCAAUGUUACUCAUCUUCACCAUGGACCUUCCAAAUUCAAUGUUAAAGGUCAAUCCAAGUAAGCCUCUAAUGCCCAAGAAUCGUUGGACAAAGGUCUUGGUAGAAGCAUCAGUCCAUAACCUUUGAUCAGAUUCCAGUAUUCCCUUCCCAUCUCUCAAGUUGGCAAAGAAAGAGUUAUCAAAUCUGUUAACGCUGCCUGUGUCCAAUCCAAUCCUCCUUGACCCAUCACCGUUCUGCGGACACAGCGCUUGAAGCUGGGAAACGAAUGCGGCGGUGAUAGAAGGGUCGGCUCCGUUUCCGGUCGUGGUGAAGUUGUAAAGCCUGUAUCUGAAGAAUUGGCAGGCUGUAGUACCGAUCGUGUGGCCUCCUGGAGUACAUAAAAUUAAUGCAUUGAAUUUCAUCAGUUACAGUGUGAAAUUUUUAAUUAAGGGUUAAAUUCGAAUGAAAUAGAAACCUAAAUGCUUACCAACAAGGGUGACAAGAUCUUGAGUAUUGAGACCCUUUGCUGCAAAUUUUUGCUUCUGCACAUCGACUGAGUCACGGAAGCCUGGCAAAUUGGCCGCAUCAGAAGCCUGUGAAACCGUUCCAUCUCGGCGGCCUGUCGGCACUGCCCAGCUGGCUCCACUGCUCUGCAUCAUACAUUAUUAACCAAUAAUUAAACUACGUAUAAUCCUUAUUAAUUCUUUCAUCCGAAACGAAGAUCAAAGGAACAUAUAGUUACCAGAACUACAGAAUCACGAGCAGCGAGGGCUAGGAUAUCAGCACACGAAACAACUCCAGGGCAUGCAGCUUCAAGCUGAGUCUUGGCAUCAUCAAUGACUUCGUAACCUCUCAACAAGAGGUUCGGUGGGGCGGUUUUCUCAGUGCCAGGUCCAUCAAUAAGGAUGGAAGCAUCGCAUCCAUGGACAAAGCAGUCGUGGAAAUGCAUACGGAGCAAACCAGGAGCAAUAGUGGGAUCAGACCCGAAAUGGGAUUGAACCGUCGACCUCACGAUGGACUCAACUCGAGGACAUGAAGUUGAGUAGAACCCAACCCUGGUGCCCUGGCUUUCCACCAAGCUGACAGCUAUGGCAAGCAAUAGGGUAACUAAAAGGACAUUUUGGCUGAAACAACUGACAUCCAUUGUUGUAAGAGACGAUAUACUUGUCUAAGAGCUUAUAAAAAACCUUGAUUAAGAUAAUGUCUGAGAGAUGAGGCUUUUGAUUCAGGAUUGACAAUUGAGUAGUACUUAUAUAGGCAAAAGAAAGUCAGCUAUACUUUUACAGCUACUGUGUAUACGAGAGAGAGAUUCAAAAUGGAUCAGCUAAGACUUUGGGUUUUGGGGUACAUGCCAAAUGUAAAGCCAAAAGAAGCUUACUUUCUCUCGCAUUAUCAACUUGCAUGCAUGUGAGUCCCAUAUCACUAUUUUUCCUACCUAGUGACAAAGUCGUCGAUCACGAAUGGGAUUUGAGUAGUGUUUAUCUAAUUUAUUUCCCUUUGACUUGGACUGCUUCGCAGAUAGGCAAGGAAUCAUUUAAAUGGUUAAUUAGUAAACACAAUACUUUGCAAGAGUAAGUGACCAAAGUUAUAUUAAUUAAAUGGUUAAAUGAUAACAUUUAAAAACUUUAAAGUGGAUUCCACUGUAUGGUGCUAAUUAGGUGUUGGUUUAUGAAUAGUUUCUUCGUCCAAGAAAGGAAUAGUUCCAUGAAUGGAUCAAAAUGAACUACUCGAAAGAGAGAUGAAAUGACAAACUACUCUCUUGCACCUUUUAUCAAUUAGCGUUCCAUCUUUUUAUCCUUCUUCUUUUUAUGAUUUUAGUUGAUUAAGUUAAAAUUAAUGUUAAAGUUCUACCCAAAUUUUUAUUAAAAUAAAAUAUAUGUAGUAAGAUGGGGAUUCAUGAGGGCGAAGGUCAAGGGCUGGAGAACUUGUCCAUUAAGAAUUCGGGUUAAGAUAGUACGGUACAGGCUGCACAAGAAGAAUCUGUAUAGAAGUUUACUUCAUCUAUUUGAUAUUGAUUUGAAUAAGGUGUUUUAACAUUAUUGUAUUAUUUCGAUUAGAUGUUGAUUAGAAUAAUAUUUUCUAAACCUAUAAAUAGAUGCACUCUAUACUCCUUAUAAUUAUUUGAAUUCGACAUAGUGAAAUUUUUUUCUCUACUUGUAAUUUUUUUCUAAAAAGGUUUCUACUUAAAAUCUAUAUGUUCUAUUUUUCUUUUCUUUUUUAUGAUAUAUUGUCAUUAUUGAUAUUUUAUUUUGUCAAAUAUGCCAUUAAAACAUUUCAAAUGUAAUUCACUUAUUGUAUACAAUUGUUUUGUAAGAUAUAGCGUUCAACAAUGUAUUUAAAAUAGUCAGCUUUUUUGUAAAUAAAUAAACUAUAUAUAAUUUUAGUUGUCUUCGGCUUUUAGCUAAUUAUAUGUUAAAGUGGGAUUAAGUAGAGUUGGUGAGACAUGAUAAAACCCAAGCGGCAAAACGCGUGACAGAAUGAUGAUGACGAAGUUUAAUUUGUCUUGGCCUUCUGAUUUACUUACUAAUAGGGUGGCAUUGACGUUGACGUUCCUCUUUUCGGCUGCCUCAAAGCUAUCUUUUUCCCAUUCUCCUUUCCUUUUUUUUUUUUUAAUAUCUUGAAAUGGUUUCUCUCGCUCGAACGCGUUUCAUGCACUACAUGGAAUCAACGUGUUCAUACUAUUAAGUGUUUUUUUUCUUUUUUAAUUAUUAUCAAAGAAACUAUGAUGGUGGAUUUCAACCUAAAAUAUAUUUACGUGAAUCAAAUAUUAAUUUAAUUAAAAAAUUAAAAUCUUUUGAGAUAAAUAAAUAUUAUUAUGAGGUAAUUUUCAUUCUUUAUACAAAAUUUAUAUCAAAAUAUUUUAAAAUUUAAUAUCUGGAGUUUCUUUUUGUAUAUCAUAUGGAUGAUUCAAUCUGCAAGGACCAUGAUUGAGAAUUGUUUAAUCGUCUUUCUUCGAGUGAGAGGUAAAAUAUAAUUAACUUGAACUCGGGACACCUAUUUGAAAUCUCAUAUUUGCUUUUUGUGAAAAAAUACCAAUCGAAGUGGAGAGUUUCUUCAAACAACAAGGAACUGGGGCAACUAUUCAAUCAAAUGAUAUUGAGCAUGUUUCCCAUCUCUUCUCGAGAGGCAAGUGGGCUAUUUCGUUACAAAAUUGUGCUCAAUUUCAUAUGUGGCAAUUCCGCCAAGAUCUCUUCGUUAGUUGGGGGAAGAAUCCACACGAAUCGGAUAUUUUGUGGAACACAUUGAGAGAGAAUUGGAUUUGGUUAGACAAUAUAUGGUUGGUAAACAGGGAUCGAUUUUUUAGCAAGUACGGAAUGUAUCGUCAAAUAUUCAAUAUGAUUCCACAAGAUUUAGUUUCAUUCAAGUAACGAAUUCUCACCAAUCUAAUCUGUUUCGUUAUUCUAAGUGGUUAUUCUAUUUUGGGGAAUGAAGAACUUCUUAUUCUUAACUCUUGGGUUCAAGAAUUCCUAUAUAAUUUAAGCAACACAAUAAAAGCUUUUUCUAUUCUUUUAUUAAUAGAUUUAUGUAUAGGAUUUCAUUCGCCCCCAGUUGGGAACUAAUGAUUGGCUCUAUCUAUAAAGAUUUUGGAUGUGCUUAUAAUGAUCUAAUUAUAUCUAGUCUUGUUCCUACCUUUACAGUCAUUCUAGAUACAAAUUUUAAAUAAUAGAUCUUUCGUUAUUUAAAUCGUGUAUAUCUGUCACUUGUAGUUAUUUAUCAUUCAAUGAAAGAAUGAAAAAGGAUUCACGGAUUCAAUUAUCAUCUUUCUUACUUUCUAGAUAAGCAAAGCAUGUAAAGUCGUACUUACUUUACUCUUUCUACCCAUCAGGAGAAUACAAUUUCUCCUCUAUUUCAGCCAUUUUUUUCAAUUUUUAGUAAAAGAAAAUAGCGGAAUCGUGGCUAAGGAACUAUACUUGUGACCUACCUAAUUUUAUUAUAGAAAUUUUUGGGAUCAAUGAUUGGACCAUGCAAACUAGAAAUACAAAGAAUUAAUAUUUAGAUUUAUAGAAAUACUUAAACUUAUAAAUAGAGGCAUGUUCACCUGUUAGAUAGAGGCAAAGUAGAUUUAAUUAUGAGUCGGGCCAUUCACUUAUGCCCAAAGGUCCGUCUGGAAAGUGGGAGGGUUUGGAAAAAAAUAUAGGUUUGGACAAAAAAUAAGGCCCAUUUUCUAAAUUGGUUGGGCUUCGGGUAAGAUUUUUUUUUUGUCCAACCCCACCCGAAUCUGCCUAAAGUUUUUUUCCUGCUGUUGUUUGCUAUUGUUUUGUUGCUGUUUUACUAUUAUGUUACUACUAUUUUGUUAUUAUUUGGAUAUUGUAUAACUCUUAUUUUAUUAUUAAUUUUUCUACUAUUUUAGAGGCAUCUGCUUUGCUAAGUUCCAACUGUUAUUUAAGUAUAAAGACUUUUUUAAUGUAUUUUCAAUUUUUGGGGAAACAUUUAUUUUAAUGUUUUUAGUAUACUUGAUAUAUUAUAUUUAUUAAAUUUGUUUUUAUAUAAAAAAUAAUAUAAAAAAAUUUAAUACGACCGGGUCGGGUUUAACAUUUUUAUCUGGGUCGAGCUUGAACAAAAAUUUAGGCCCAUUUUUUUUGGCUCAAGUCCAAAAACAAGCCUAAAUUUCUGCAUCAGCUUGGCACUGUCUGGUCCAUGAUCAAGUCUAAGUCGAAGCCAAAAAAAUUUUUUUGGAAGGGCCGAAAUUAAAUUUUAUAUUCUUAUGAUAGUAAAAAAGCAAUUUUACCAUUUUAAUAGCCUAUAUCUUUAUAAUUUGUAAAGGAUUAAAUCAAAUUUUUAUCAUUUUGCAAGGCUAAACUGUAAUUUUACCAUUAUUAAUUUAAAAUUUUAUAAAUUAUAAAUAGACCUAAACACACAAAAAUUCAUUUUAGGGGGGCCCUACCAACCCCUAGCACUGCCACUGGUUAUAGAUAUUGGGAGCGGGUUAAACUAUUUGAUAAGUCUUACCAUAAUAGACUUGUUUAAAGGUUGUGUUAUUCGUCUAAACUCAAAGAGUUUAGUUCAAUAUUUGAAAAAGUUGGACACAAAUAUUAGUCCCACAAAUGAGCUUCGACAAGAAAACUAGGCAUGUUGCAAAUAUAGAUCGGGUUUGGACUCCAACAUCCAUAGCCCGAGCUUUUCUCAAACCGUUUUUAAUAUUGUCAUAUGUUGUUUUAUUUUUAUAUAUUAUGUAAUAUAUAUCACAUAAAAUUAAAUCUAUAAUAUCAUAAAAUACUAUAAUGUAAGCAUAAAAAAUAUGUUAAGUUAUUGAUUACUAAAAUAAAAGAAAAACAUAUACAAAUAUUACAUAUUAAAUUAAAAAUAAUAUAAAUUAUUUUUAUAUGUCAGACCUAAAACAAACUUAGAUUAAUUAUUUAUUAAUAUGGAUGACUUUAAUCAAAAUCUAAGAUCCAUAUUUUAAGUCAAAUUAAGCUUGAACAAUCAUAUUAAUUAAAUACAUAUAACUUAUAAUAGGUUGAAAUUGUUAAAUUAAUUUUAUUUUUAAAAAUUAUAUUUUUUUAAAAAAAUAAAAUAUUCAAAUUAUCAUAUUUUACUUUUAUCAAAUAAUAUAAUUAUAUUUUUAAUUAAUCUUUACUAUUUUAUAAAAAAAUUGAAAAAAAAAGUUUUUUUAUAUGAAAAAAAAGUGUACAAAAGAAAUAACAUGUAUACUUUUGUAUAUAGUGUUUUUCUUUUGACCUGAAAAUGUGAGUGACUUAAAUAGUAUAUCGUUUCUUGAGAAAAAGUAUUUCAUUGAAAAAAUGAUUUUUUUUACAAGUUAGGCUAAUGUAAUCUAUAUUAACAAUGCUAUCAAGAAAUCCUAACUCGAGUUGGUGACAACUUUAAUUAAUUUAUUCUUAACCACAGACAUAGAAUCUUAUAUAAAAUUUAAUAAUGGAUCGAUGAUAAUUCAUACAAUGCAUCGAGAGUUGUGUAAGGUAAUUUUGGAGGUUUAAGAAGAGUAUAGAAAUUUUCUUUUUUUUGGGUCUAAAUAGCAUACAGAAUUUAUAUGCUCUGAUAUGUGUAAACGGGCCAAUUUGCCCGGCCGUUAUAAACAAAAAAAUAAAUAUAAAAUCCAAACCGUAUAACAGUCCAAAUUCCAAAAUUAUUACAAUGACCCAUAGCCCAUUUACAAAUAAACCCAGACCCAAAGUUACAAGGCCCAAAUGGCCCAAAAGACUUUAGAAACAAAACCCUAGGGUUUCUCUCCCUUGCACUGUAGCCUUCAGCCGCCGUACAGCCCCAACGCCGCUCGUGCCUCCACGUCAAUAGGCCGUACGCCACCCUCACGCCUAGUGCCAGCACAUGCUCCGUACCUGCAAAAGAAAACAAGAAAACAGCAGCGGAGUAGCAGCCAAUAGGAGAACAAAAAUUGUUGUUUUUUCUUUUGAUUAUUCGGCUAUAAAGCCUUUUAUUUUUCGAUUGUAAUGGCCCUUUUUUACGCACACGGAGUGAAUAGAGAAAAAAGCAGAAAUCACAAAUCAAAAGGUGAUUUUCAAGUUUUAUCCUUUUGUCUUUCUUCUCAUUUUCUUGUUAUUUUAGCAUAAAAGAAAGAAACAUUUGAAACGACACCAAUGAAGUCCCGAAUAUCUCAGAAAUAUUGAGAUACGGACGACGGUCGGAUGGUAUUAAGUUUUUUUUUACAUUCGGUUUCAUCCUUCUUAAAUGAACAGUAUUAGAUUUAGGUUUUUUUUUUAAAGAAAAGAGAAAGAAAAAAAUAAAAUAGCAUACCUGGUUUCCUCGCAUGGUACCGUCGUCGGUGGAAUCUGGUCGCUGCUAGUGCAUUGUAGGCCACCGAAUGAAAUGGUGGAUCGGCGGUCGCUGGAAUGAGCCUUAACAAAUCAAUUUAGGGGCUGUAAAUUAGGGUUAAAAUGUUGGCUGCUUUUGGAAAAAGGAAAUAUAAAAGGGUUUUAAAUAACCUAUUAAUGAAAACGGCGCCGUUUGUAACAAUGAGGGUCCGCGCGUCAACCCGGAUAGCAGGUCGGAUCCGCGCCUUUUCAUUCGAAAUGGGGAAUUUGCGCGUUGAGUCCUUCCAUCUGCGCGAGCCUUCAAAUUGCGCCUUAUUCGUUUUGCCUUGUUUUUUUUUAAAUUAGCUCGUUAAUUUGUGCGCGUUUGCAUAC